This 1121-nucleotide long non-coding RNA is filed under the name Nicotiana benthamiana. Its description in RNAcentral is "long non-coding RNA (NBEN_LNC020241)". Lineage: Eukaryota; Viridiplantae; Streptophyta; Magnoliopsida; Solanales; Solanaceae. The record is from RNAcentral.
UUGGACUUACCUUUGAUUAAGGGAUCUCAAAUCAAAGGGUAAUAAUCAGUCAUUCAAAAGGAAAUAAAUCACAAAGUACGGUAUAAUCACAUAAGGAAAUAGGGUAGCAUAGAGCAUGCAAUAAAGACUAGAUACAUGACCAUCUAAUUAAGGAAAUAGGCAGGGCAAAAUCAAUCAAAAUGUUGUAAUCAUAUAUAAGGAAAAAUAUCACCGUAAUCUUGGAAAAUAGUUUUCAAAAUAAUGACUGAGAUUGAAACCCUGGGAGUCAGUAUUAAUUGAGAAAAGUAUCCCAUAAAUUAAGGAAGAAGUUCAAACUGUAGGAAAAUACGCGGAAUCACAAUUUGAAAGCAAGUAUCACAGUCUCAAAGAGGGUUCAAGGAAUCAGUAUAAAAUUACCAUGCAAGCAAUAAGAGAAAAUUUUCAGUGAAGAACACAAAAAGAACAACACACUAACAACAAGGAGCAUAGAACUCGGGGAGAAAUCCAGAAGAACACAAAACAAGCAAAUAAUGCAAAUCCAAACAGCCAAAAAUAGGAUUUUAUCAGACUUAAGCAAAACAAUUAGAAAAUAGUAUUGAGAAUGACGAACUAGUACUCAGAAUCAAAAAAUAAAGUGAUUUCGAAAAGGGGUCAGAAACCCUAGUUUUAAAAAGGAAUAGAAAUUGUUUAAAACUGGAAUAAUCGUAAGAAAUAGUGCAAAAUAUGAAGGUGUGAGUUAAAAUUGUUAAGUAAAUCAGAGAUUUAAGAGGUUUGGGUUGCAAUUAGGGUUUCAUAAGAAGCUUGUUAGAGGGGUAAGAGAAACCUGGCUGUGAAGCUCAAAGAUAAUGGUGUUUUUAGGAUCAUUGAACCAAAAUCAUUGGAGAAAGGCCGGAAUCGGACCCCCGGCAAGGCUUCAGCGACCAUUUUCAUGGUGGAGGCUUCUAUGGUUUGAAACUCUGGAGAGAAGCAACGAUACGGGAUCCCAUGGUGGCUAGAGGUCGAGAGAAGUGAGGACGGAGCAUGGCCAGAGAGGCGAUGAAGCUCGUCGGAGAAGAAGGAGUGAACCAGAAGUUUCUACAGAGAAGGGAGAGGAAUCAUUCAAGAGAGAGUGAGAUAGAGAUAGAGACCGAUCUCUGAGAAAU